This 468-nucleotide ribosomal RNA is filed under the name uncultured bacterium. RNAcentral describes it as "partial 16S ribosomal RNA". It matches the Rfam family "Bacterial small subunit ribosomal RNA", at positions 28 to 507 of the family's 1533-position model. The record is from RNAcentral.
GACGAACGCUGGCGGCGUGCUUAACACAUGCAAGUCGAACGGAAAGGCCCUGCUUUUGUGGGGUGCUCGAGUGGCGAACGGGUGAGUAACACGUGAGUAACCUGCCCUUGACUUUGGGAUAACUUCAGGAAACUGGGGCUAAUACCGGAUAGGAGCUCCUGCUGCAUGGUGGGGGUUGGAAAGUUUCGGCGGUUGGGGAUGGACUCGCGGCUUAUCAGCUUGUUGGUGGGGUAGUGGCUUACCAAGGCUUUGACGGGUAGCCGGCCUGAGAGGGUGACCGGCCACAUUGGGACUAAGAUACGGACCAGAAUCCUACGGGAGGCAACAGUGGGGAAUAUUGCACAAUGGGCGGAAGCCUGAUGCAGCAGCGCCGCGUGCGGGAUGACGGCCUUCGGGUUGUGAACCGCUUUCGCCUGUAACGAAGCGUGAGUGACGGUAAUGGGUAAAGAAGCACCGGCUAACUACGUG